RNAcentral lists this ribosomal RNA (466 nucleotides) under uncultured bacterium. RNAcentral's name for it is "partial 16S ribosomal RNA". It matches the Rfam family "Bacterial small subunit ribosomal RNA", at positions 28 to 506 of the family's 1533-position model. The record is from RNAcentral.
GAUGAACGCUGGCGGCGUGCUUAACACAUGCAAGUCGAACGAUGAAGCCCAGCUUGCUGGGUGGAUUAGUGGCGAACGGGUGAGUAACACGUGAGCAACCUGCCCCUGACUCUGGGAUAAGCGCUGGAAACGGCGUCUAAUACUGGAUAUGUCCCGUCACCGCAUGGUGUGCGGGUGGAAAGAUUUUUCGGUUGGGGAUGGGCUCGCGGCCUAUCAGCUUGUUGGUGAGGUAAUGGCUCACCAAGGCGUCGACGGGUAGCCGGCCUGAGAGGGUGACCGGCCACACUGGGACUGAGACACGGCCCAGACUCCUACGGGAGGCAGCAGUGGGGAAUAUUGCACAAUGGGCGGAAGCCUGAUGCAGCAACGCCGCGUGAGGGAUGACGGCCUUCGGGUUGUAAACCUCUUUUAGCAGGGGAGAAGCGAAAGUGACGGUACCUGCAGAAAAAGCACCGGCUAACUACGU